Molecule: ribosomal RNA, 406 nt
Filed under: uncultured bacterium
Lineage: Bacteria
Description: partial 16S ribosomal RNA
Rfam family: Bacterial small subunit ribosomal RNA
Source: RNAcentral
AUUGAACGCUGGCGGCAGGCCUAACACAUGCAAGUCGAGCGAGCGGCGGACGGGUGAGUACUGUCUGGGAACCUGCCUGAUGGAGGGGGAUAACUACUGGAAACGGUAGCUAAUCACGCAUACCAUCAGAUGUGCCCCGAUGGGAUUAGCUAGUAGGUGGGGUAAUGGCUCACCUAGGCGACGAUCCCUAGCUGGUCUGAGAGGAUGACCAGCCACACUGGAACUGAGAAACGGUCCAGACGCCUACGGGAGGCAGCAGUGGGGAAUAUUGCACAAUGGGCGCAAGCCUGAUGCAGCCAUGCCGCGUGUGUGAAGAAGGCCUUCGGGUUGUAAAGCACUUUCAGCGGGGAGGCGUUACCAGCAGAAGAAGCACCGGCUAACUCCGUGCCCGCAGCCGCGGUAAUUC